RNAcentral lists this ribosomal RNA (446 nucleotides) under uncultured bacterium. RNAcentral's name for it is "bacterial SSU rRNA". It matches the Rfam family "Bacterial small subunit ribosomal RNA", at positions 29 to 520 of the family's 1533-position model. The record is from RNAcentral.
AGCGAACGCUGGCGGCAGGCCUAACACAUGCAAGUCGAACGGAUCCUUCGGGAUUAGUGGCGGACGGGUGAGUAACACGUGGGAACGUGCCCUUUGGUUCGGAACAACUCAGGGAAACUUGAGCUAAUACCGGAUGUGCCCUUCGGGGAAAGAUUUAUCGCCAUUGGAGCGGCCCGCGUCUGAUUAGCUAGUUGGUGGGGUAAAGGCCCACCAAGGCGACGAUCAGUAGCUGGUCUGAGAGGAUGAUCAGCCACAUUGGGACUGAGACACGGCCCAAACUCCUACGGGAGGCAGCAGUGGGGAAUCUUGCGCAAUGGGCGAAAGCCUGACGACAGCCAUGCCGCGUGAAUGAUGAAGGUCUUAGGAUUGUAAAAUUCUUUCACCGGGGACGAUAAUGACGGUACCCGGAGAAGAAGCCCCGGCUAACUUCGUGCCAGCAGCCGCCG